This 410-nucleotide ribosomal RNA is filed under the name uncultured bacterium. Its description in RNAcentral is "bacterial SSU rRNA". It matches the Rfam family "Bacterial small subunit ribosomal RNA", at positions 370 to 772 of the family's 1533-position model. The record is from RNAcentral.
AAUGGGGGCAACCCUGAUCCAGCCAUGCCGCGUGAGUGAAGAAGGCCUUCGGGUUGUAAAGCUCUUUCGGCCGGGAAGAAAUCGUGUGGGCUAAUACCCUGCAUGGAUGACGGUACCGGAAUAAGAAGCACCGGCUAACUACGUGCCAGCAGCCGCGGCAAUACGUAGGGUGCGAGCGUUAAUCGGAAUUACUGGGCGUAAAGCGUGCGCAGGCGGGUUUUUAAGACAGGCGUGAAAUCCCCGGGCUUAACCUGGGAACUGCGCUUGUGACUGGAAGGCUAGAGUACGGGAGAGGGGGGUGGAAUUCCACGUGUAGCAGUGAAAUGCGUAGAGAUGUGGAGGAACACCGGUUGCGAAGGCAGCCCACUGGGCCGAUACUGACGCUCAUGCACGAAGGCGUGGGGAGCAAA